Molecule: non-coding RNA, 45 nt
Filed under: Schistosoma haematobium
Lineage: Eukaryota; Metazoa; Platyhelminthes; Trematoda; Strigeidida; Schistosomatidae
Source: RNAcentral
AUCCAGCUGAUGAGCUCAGAACAGGACGAAACGCGUGUCCUGGAU